CAGCAAAUUGUACCAAGUUUACUCUGCCUGUCCUUACUAUAAAACAAGGCCAGCAUUUUUCAUCCAAUUGUUAAAUAAAUUUAAGUAGUGCAAUAAAUGUUUGGUUAUUCAUGGUAAAAUUAGAAGAAAAUUGGUGUAUUUUUAAAUUCAUUUUAUUUCACCCCACGCUUUCUGUAUGUCUUGAUCAUCUGACUCUCCACUCAUUCUCCAUUUUUCUCCUUAUUUUCUCACCUCUGUAUUUUUCUUUGUACAACAGAAAUAAACAGUUGGCAACUUGACAUAAAGUUCAGACAACGAAGAUUACAGUUUCAAAUUCUAUCUUGCCGAACAUGUGGUUAACAUUUUUCCCCUGUGUGCUGUGCUUUGCGCAUAUCACUGAAUAUGUAACUCAAUAAAAGUUCAUCACACAGAUACACCACUACAUGCCACCCAUGUCUCCACUCAAGAGUAAAGCUUUAGAUACUCUCUGACAGUGUAAGCACACACUUCCCUGAGAUUCAAAGCUUGCAGGGAGUCUGGAGUGCAGUUCACCUCUUCAUAGACAUAUGAUAGUAGAAGCAAAAAGACACCUACAAUUUUGUAGGUUCUUAAACACUAAGUAAUCCAUUAACUUUAAACACAAAAACAUGCUUGAAAGGUAUGUGCAAGAAAUGUAUGGAUCUAGAUAAAAUAAAAGCGUUACCACAUUUCACUGCUUUUGUUUUAUAGCCUCUCCAGCAUUCAAGGGGGUAAGUCAGAGUCCUCUAAGGAGCCCAAGAUUCCCCCUCCUGCACAGGGUCAAUCCUCAAAAUCUUCUCUCUUCACCUCCCCUCUCCCUUACAUGACCAGUAAGAGACCUACUCUCAUAUAAUCUUUGUUAACCUUCAUCAGGUGAUUCCUUGAUUGGAGUCACAGGUGAUCAAUGUGUGCCCUCCAAGGGCAUCAGUUGAUUUAUUUCCCUCUUGAAGCUUGAAAAACAAGUUAGCUUUGUGCAGUCAACACCUCUUUGACCAACAGAGCCUCUGCACAGAAAAGCAAGUUUUGCCAAAGUUUCAGGACCCCUGUGUGUUCAUUAAUGUUAACUGGACUGCCAAUUUUGUUAAAUCUAAGCUCUGUAAGAAAACAUGCUAUCAAUGAAAUACAUGUCUGUUUAAGUGUUCACAAAUGUUAUUUUUACCAUUGUCCUUCUCCAUAAUAAUAAAUAUACAAUAGGUAAAGACAAAACACGAGCACUUAUUGCUGUGUUUGGAUAUACUUAUGCGUGUCGUACUUGAAGUUAAAGUGUUCGUGCUUAAUGAGCUUUGAUGCAACACUUUUACGAAGGUCAUAAAUGAGAUAAAGAGAUGCUUUGGAUCUAUCAAAAGCAAAUCCUGUCGGCCCCCUUGAAAUUUCGUAUAGAAACACCAACUUAAUGAGUCCCUUUGUUCAAUAACUCUCUGUUUUCCAAGAGUCCGUAUUAGUUUUUAAAACAUUUUGUAGAGUUUUUAGAUAAAUUUUACCAUGCUACCACUUUCUAGGUUUGAAAACCAUCAGUUCUAUUGCUCUCAUAUAAACAACUGUACACCAUUGGGUUGACAAUUUCCUUAUUGGCUCUAGUUGGAUUUUUCAAGAGUCUAAAUUAGGUGACUUUUGGUGGAAGUCAGGUAUCCAGCCCCCUUAGGGUCAUUUGAAAAUCCUAGCUUCUGACAGUGUCCUAUCCGGAAAAUAGGAAUUAUCCAGGGGAGGACAGCAAUAAUGGAUAUUUAGUUAAGAGACGUCUAAAUGUUAAUCACCCCCAGUUUAAAGAUCAUGAUUUCCUGUAAUCUAGAGGGGAGGGAGAGUAUCAGCAAUAAAGUGUUCUUUACAACUAUACCAUUCUAUGGUCUGGCACCUCACUGAAGUCAUAAAAUACCAUAUAUGUAAUACAUGUAGGGUUGGCAGGACAUGAUUUUAGUGUACAAGUGUAAAAAUUCAGUAGUAGCUCCAGAAACUUCAAAGGGGUUUUUUUUCUUUCGUCGUUCUAGAGAAGCAGCUAAGCAAACUCCUAUUUUGAGACUAUUUUGUUCAGUGUCUUACCAUAAAUACAAAUUAGCUUACAAACAUCAAAAAAUAUUUUUCAAAAGGUUUAUAAAAGAGUGGUGUGACCUAAUCCAACUGAAGUCAGUACUUACAAUUCGCUGAGCCUUUCACUACAAAGUAUUUCAAAAUCUUUUACAAAUAUAUGUAGGAUGUAUAAGAAACAACUGUUCACCCACUACUUGGACAGAAUUGGGAUAGCAAGGAAAGUUUUGAAAAUACUUAUUUCUAAAAAGUAGCUGCUAUACAUUGAAAUGAAAAAAAAAGAUCUCUCUUUUUAAUGUUAACCUUAACAUGUUCCACAGAAGUUGUGAACAGUUUUAAACAGUGCUCUUAAUUUUUUUUAGGAACAGGAUAAGCAGGAUUCUAUUAGUUGCUUCCUUAUUAAUAAUUUGGCAAAUGGAGAAA
This is a long non-coding RNA of Gavialis gangeticus (Gharial), 2442 nucleotides long. RefSeq lists it as uncharacterized. Lineage: Eukaryota; Metazoa; Chordata; Crocodylia; Gavialidae. The transcript has 2 exons. The record is from RefSeq and is a predicted model, not a curated record.